RNAcentral lists this long non-coding RNA (359 nucleotides) under Gossypium raimondii (Peruvian cotton). RNAcentral's name for it is "long non-coding RNA (GRAI_LNC010015)". Lineage: Eukaryota; Viridiplantae; Streptophyta; Magnoliopsida; Malvales; Malvaceae. The record is from RNAcentral.
GGGCAUUGGGCUGGUGUUUGGGUUUAGUGACUAUUUGGGCCUUAUUGGGUCGAUUGGCUAUUGUAAAUGGACCGUUAUUGGACUGUUGUUAAUUGGACUUUUAAUUUUAAAUUUCUAUUGGUUUUAUUUAUUUUAUUUUUAGUUUUUUUGUGCUUUUGGGCCCGGGCAUAUUGGGCCUAUUACAAUUUGAUACCUUAACUUUUACAUUGUCAUUGAUUAGUCCAUUUUAAUGUUUUCUUUUUGUUACAUGGCUCUAAGUGAAUUUUCUUUUUUGUAAUUUCAAAAUGGCAUGUCAGCGAAUUUAACAUCAAAGUAAAAUAGGACUAACAAAAUAGGACUAACAAGUUAAUAAAAAAAUG